Molecule: ribosomal RNA, 240 nt
Filed under: uncultured bacterium
Lineage: Bacteria
Description: partial 16S ribosomal RNA
Rfam family: Bacterial small subunit ribosomal RNA
Source: RNAcentral
AUACGGAGGAUCCGAGCGUUAUCCGGAUUUAUUGGGUUUAAAGGGUCCGCAGGCGGGCCUGUAAGUCAGAGGUGAAAGCCGGCAGCUUAACUGUCGAACUGCCUUUGAAACUGCAGGCCUUGAGUAAGAUUGAAGUGGCUGGAAUGUGUAGUGUAGCGGUGAAAUGCAUAGAUAUUACACAGAACACCAAUAGCGAAGGCAGGUCACUAAAUCUUAACUGACGCUGAGGGACGAAAGCGU